UCUUAACCCUGUCCAGAAAAUCUGCUGAGUCACCGAGUAUCAAUCAAGAGAAAAAUAAUGCAGAGCUGCAAAAUGCUAAUCUCCUUCCUCCUGCUCUCCUUCCUAACAGCAAGCCGACUCACAGGGUACUCAAAGCCCAGCGGUGCCUACCUGCUGUUCUUCUCCACUUCGUAGAGGAAAAGCUCGCUGCUGCCACUGCAAACCCUGAUGUCAACUCUACUCUCACAAGCUGGGGACCCUAUCCCCAGAAAUUUCACAGGACCACACACCAGCUCCACAGCCUCCACCUUCUCCUGCUCUGCAAGCCAUCCUUGGGUUUUUUUCUGCAUUGCUUCAAGACUAAUCUAAGAUAAAAAUCUACUCUCAAACAUCGUAGCCAUUAGGGAACUGCAAAUUAAAACCACAAUCAGAUACCAGGCACAUCUAUAGGAAUGGCUAAAAUAAACAUUAUAACAUUGAGUACUGGCAA
Homo sapiens (human) is the source of this 469-nucleotide long non-coding RNA. Ensembl annotates it as ABCC5 antisense RNA 1. Its record names the gene ABCC5-AS1. The record is from Ensembl. Lineage: Eukaryota; Metazoa; Chordata; Mammalia; Primates; Hominidae.